CUAACACCGAGCCCGACGGGGCGAAAAGCCGGAACGCCUAUCGGCCCGGUGCUGGCACCUAUUUAGAUG
This 69-nucleotide small RNA is filed under the name Candidimonas nitroreducens. RNAcentral describes it as "int-alpA RNA". It matches the Rfam family "int-alpA RNA". Rfam says of the family: Acidobacteria (1 example), Planctomycetes (1 example), Proteobacteria. Environment (Lake Washington) The record is from Rfam by way of RNAcentral. Lineage: Bacteria; Pseudomonadati; Pseudomonadota; Betaproteobacteria; Burkholderiales; Alcaligenaceae.